RNAcentral lists this unclassified non-coding RNA (1612 nucleotides) under Hevea brasiliensis (rubber tree). Lineage: Eukaryota; Viridiplantae; Streptophyta; Magnoliopsida; Malpighiales; Euphorbiaceae. The record is from RNAcentral.
UCUCUCUGAGCUCUGGGAUGGAGAACUGUAAUGUUCUUAAUUAAUUUUCUUAUACUAGAAAUCCAAAUAUUAGUGUAUUCUUCACUAUUUUAAUUUUUAAAAAAAUUAGUUAAACUUAUUUGGUUUUCAAGCACUGGUAUGAAUAUGAAAGUAAAAUUCUCAUAAAUCCUUACAAUGUAAAAGAGGGCUGGCGUUUUCGUCCAGAAAUUUGAGUGGCUUUUUACAAAUGAUGUCUGAUGAGUGAGCCUAAAUCUUGUUGGAUCUGUACAAUUAAUGAAAUUUCUUUAUCUUUGAAAAGAAAUUACUGUUAAAUGUUUAAAAGGAUAUAUGAAUUAGUUAUAGUACAUAUAAAGGUGGUAUUGAGAAAUAUUUUAAAAAAUAGUUAAAUGAAGUUGUAAUUUAAAAAGAAUAAUAUUAUUGGAUAGAAUAAGAAUACAAUUCUAUGAAUCACAAAUAGAAAAAUGCAAUCAUGAGUGGAGCACAUACUUCAAUCCUUCAUUAUAUACAAGAAUCAUACCACAAAAAAAGUUAAUGCUUGAUUUUGGAACCCAAUUCGCACACCCUCAUAUUCUAGUAUAUGCAUCCAUCAUUACACAUUCACAAUCAUUGCAAAAAACAAAAAAAAAAUGAACAGGAAAAAGGCAAGUGAGAAGCAAAGAAUUGGACCAAGCCAGACUAGCGAAGAAUUGAUGCAUGAUAUCUUUAAAUAAUACGUGUCUUUUACUUCCAUGAGAAAGAUUCUAUGUGCAGGGUUCAAAAAUGAAAAAAGAAACAAAAUGACAGGCAAGUACAUACUAUAACAUUAUAACAUCCAGUUUCCUAUACAAAAGAAAACUCUUGUUUUGGCCACGAAGAUAAGCCCAAAACUAUAGUCAGAGUCAUAUCCAAGGAAAAUGUACCAGGUAACUGACCAAACUAAGAGUCGCAAACCUUAAUAUCUAUAGUCCUCAUUGAAGAUUGUGUUUGGGUAACUGCUACUCUUGGACACAUCAGGCCUGUGAAUGAGCUUCUCCAAUGCUUCAGUCCCAUUUUCUUCAAUGUAACUCUCAGCAGUAAUUAAAAUGUCAGCUGGCUUUCUGAAGACAUCCUGCGUUCUUGGGACAUACCAUAUAUUAAUGGUUUGUUGUGGGUUAACAAAGAGAGGUCUCACUAAGUGCUCAUAAACAUAUGCAGCGCCACUGAAGUAUGGGAUCACCAACCAGCAUGUGAGAAUAAGCUUCGCAUAUGACCAGAUUGGUAUCCUGCCAUUACAGAUAUAAAAAAUUCCAGCAACGCAACAACAACUUAUCCGCUUGAUGCAUUUCAACUCUUGGUGAAAUUACCAAAACAAAGGCAAAAUUUCUUACAAUUUGAUAUUUUUCCCUAGAAUUUUAUUUCACAUUGAAAUAAUAUAUUGAAUUCGCACCAAAAAUCAACUUACAAUUAAUCACAUGCUGCACCUCAAAAACAAUAGAAAUUAGCGCAACUGAAAAAAUUCUACAGAUAAAAAUAGCACAUUAGGAUUGAUGCACAAUUGACAUAUAGACUCCAAAUUAUGUCGAAAUGCACAUUUAAUGCAGUUUCUACUUCCAAAAUUCACUAAUAAUGAUGCAAAAAACAAACAGAAAACAAG